Molecule: long non-coding RNA, 1957 nt
Filed under: Prunus dulcis (almond)
Lineage: Eukaryota; Viridiplantae; Streptophyta; Magnoliopsida; Rosales; Rosaceae
Description: sRNA ncRNA
Source: RNAcentral
GCCUUCUCCUCCUCAUUCAUUGCCGUCAUCUCCUUCUUCUCCACCUCCUCUUCGUCUCUCUCACCAUAUUCCUCAACCUUCCAUCCUUCUACGUGACUUUCACUGCAAUGCUACCAUGCUGCCUUCCCCUGCUCAGUCUUCUUCUUCCCCCACACCGGGUAAGGGUUCCAGGUAUCCAUUGUCCACUUUUCUUGCUUAUGAUCGCUUGUCUUCUACUCACCGCACCUUUGUUGCAGCAAUCUCCAAAAUCAUAGAACCCACUACCUAUGCCCAGGCUUCCACUGACCCUCUUUGGUGUGAUGCCAUGGCAAAAGAACUUCAGGCACUUGAGCAAAAUCACACAUAGUCUCUUACCUCUUUACCUGCAGGAAAGCACCCCAUUGGCUGCAAAUGGGUCUAUAAGGUGAAAUAUCACUCUAACGGCACUGUCGAACACUACAAAGCGCGACUUGUCGCCAAAGGCUACACUCAACAGGAAGGCCUCGACUAUACCGAGACCUUCUCUCCCACUAACAAGCUGGUUACAUUCCGAUGCCUUCUUGCUCUUGCCGCCGUCCGUAAUUGGCCUCUACAUCAGCUUGACGUUCAAAAUGCCUUCCUCCAUGGUGAUUUGAAUGAGGAGGUUUACAUGACUCUCCCGCCUGGUUUUCGCCGACAGGGGGAGAAUUUGGUGUGUCGACUACACAAAUCUCUGUACGGCCUGAAACAAGCUUCACGUAAUUGGUUUGUCAAGUUUACUACAGCGCUACGUGCAGCUAGUUUUGUUCAGUCCCUAGCCGAUUACUCCUUAUUCACAAGGUCUCAAAAUAAUUCAUUUACUGCACUAUUGAUCUAUGUAGAUGACAUUGUGAUUACAGGGGAUGAUCCUAAAGCUAUCCAGUCAAUCAAAGACUUCCUCAAUGUUCGCUUUCGCAUCAAGGAUUUGGGACCUCUCAAAUACUUCUUGGGUAUCGAAGUUGCACGAUCAAAGAAGGGAAUUUUCAUUUCACAGCGGAAAUAUGCACUGGAGAUACUGGAUGAUGUCGGGUUGCUAGGUGCCCGACCUUCACCUUUUCCCAUGGAACAAACACUGAGACUUAGGCCUGAUGAAGGCAAGCCGCUGAAAGAUGCCACCAAGUACCGUCGAUUAGUUGGCCGACUUAUAUACCUUACGGUAACCCGGCCUGACAUUGCUUUUUCUGUUCACAUCCUGAGCCGCUUCAUGCAUCAACCCCAUCAGCCACAUCUAGAUGCAGCACUACGAGUGUUACGUUACCUAAAGUCUUCUCCAGGCCAAGGGAUUUUUUUUGCAGCUCAUAAUGAUUUGAAGCUCAAGGCCUUUUCUGACUCUGAUUGGGGGAGUUGUCCCACCACAAGACGAUCUGUGACAGGUUACUGUACCUUCCUUGGGAACUCUCUGAUCUCGUGGAAAUCAAAGAAACAAAACACCAUUGCACGUUCGUCUGCAGAAGCGGAGUACCGUGCCAUGGCGGAUACAUGUUGCGAGUUAACAUGGCUGAGAUAUAUUCUCAAUGACUUGGGCAUUCGGCAUUCAGAACCUGCGACACUACACUGCGAUAACCAGUCGGUAUUACACAUUGUCAAAAACCCUGUCUUUCAUGAACGGACAAAACAUAUAGACCUGGAUUGUCAUUUGGUGCGACAAAAUAUUACAUCAGGAUUGGUUUCCACUACAUACACGCCAACAAAUUUGCAAGUGGCAGACCUCUUCACAAAACCGUUAGGCAAGGCUUCCUUUGGAACACUACUUGGCAAGUUGGGAGUGUACAAUAUCCACUCGCCAACUUGAGGGGGAGUGUUGAGAUAUGGGUUUAUUCCAAUUGAUAUUUGGGAAUAUUGUAAUUGAUUCUUUCCUAGUUUAGAGAUAGCGUGACCUGUUGUUUAGGGUCCUAGUUUGGCUAACUGCUUAAUUGUGGGGUCUAUAUUGCUAUAUCAAUCCCUAUAUAUGUACCUGCAC